Molecule: long non-coding RNA, 766 nt
Organism: Pseudopipra pipra
Lineage: Eukaryota; Metazoa; Chordata; Aves; Passeriformes; Pipridae
Exons: 2
Source: RefSeq, a predicted model, not a curated record
AAUCAGCCCAGUCAGAUUUUGGUAUUUCAUGGGUGUGCCAGCUACUGCUGCAGUGCAUGAAAGCAGAAUUUUACACCAUAAUUGCGAUACAGGUCUAUUAUAUGGUUCCAGAGUGUGAAUUUACAGGGAAAAGGAGGAACUUAAUAGGCUGGAAAUCCCUCACUUCACUGCCUUAUGCAGCGCACACACACUAGGACUCAAGCCUAUUCUAUCGCAAUCCUACCGUGACCACGGGCAGCUCUGAUCCACAUCAGAAAUCAACAGAAAUACCACUGUUCUAUGACCUGAUGGUACAGUAGAAGAAUGCAAAUGGAUCCCAUCACCAGAACUCAUGUUUUAAUUGAAAGUCUUCCCCAGAGAUUCUAGUCUCUGUGUUUGGAUAUUCUUUUUUUAAGCUUUCACUCCAAUUUGCAUGUCGCCUGUUUCAUUUCUACUUGGCAGAAAGCCAGCUGGAGGAGUAUCUCUGCACUGCAGUGAAAAGCUGCAGCUCUGGAAAGCUACCAUGUCAAAAAUAAGCAGCAAGACUGAAUCACCUGAAAACAGAAGGAAGAACCACCAGGAAGCAAUGAAGUCCUGACCUUCUCACUGCCAUGCAAUGGAGGAGAGAGAAGGUGAAUGAUGCUGCCAAGCCUUGGAAUCUCUAGCACUGAUGGCUUUCAUGAUUUAUUGUGGGUAUUGCAGCAACUCAACACCAGGCAUUUAAAAAUCUCCGUGGAUUUCUCUAUUGAAGUAACUAAAUUCUAAACUAAACUAAAAACAAAACCAA